This is a long non-coding RNA of Alligator mississippiensis (American alligator), 3086 nucleotides long. RefSeq lists it as uncharacterized. The record is from RefSeq and is a predicted model, not a curated record. Lineage: Eukaryota; Metazoa; Chordata; Crocodylia; Alligatoridae. The transcript has 4 exons.
GGGGGGGCGGGUCGCCUUCCUCUGCAGCAGGGAUGGAAAUCACUAGCCUCCCCCUGGCAAUCACCGAUCCUUUCCCCGGGAUCUCUUAUCGGGGAACAACCUGUGAUAGCAGGUGACAUUGCACAUCCUCACUCCCCUGCCCCACAUCAGGGUGCAAGGUCUGAGCUGUGCCAGGGCUUACGCCCUCUUACUGGUACAGUUAGUGGGUUUGUCCGGGCUGGUUUGGACAGAGCUGAUGUGAUGUGUGAUGGGGCUGGGCUAGACGCAGCUGCUGCGGGUCCCUUCCAGCCCCAGUGCUCCAUGAAAGUGCUUUCCACCCCACUCACAUUCAGCUGAGUUUGUACUUCCCCCCAGAGCUCAUGUUACCAUGUCCAGCCCUGCAUUCAUGCAUUCAACUGGACUUAAAAAUCAGGCCACAGUGCGGGAAAAUGGGCACAAUGUAACUAGGACUAGCCAACAGACAGCAGCAGGGCUGGAGGAUGGGGAGCUGGAGGAGUGGGACCUCAAAAGACCAUUAAAAUGAAGAGAGGGCAGUUAACAUGUGGGGAAUGAAGAGUUUAGAAGGAAUCAACAACCAACUAUCUUCAGCCAUGAAGUCAGUGGACUCCCUUCCCCGCAGCCUGAGUAACGGCCUUUGUCCUGGCGAGGCGCUGGUUUUAAACUCGGGGUGCAGCUGGAGACAAAGAGAGUAGGUUUAAGAGAAGAAACCCUGUGCGAAUGUGGAGUGGAGGGAAAAUGGAGGGGUGUGAGGUCCAGGGGACCUGCGGCCAGUCUGCAAAGCCCCCCAUGCCAACCUCCCCAUCACUUAGAGCGGGGUCACAACAGAGGGGAGCAAAGUGGAACUGAAAGGAGGGAGGGGAGCAGUCCUGCUUGCUCCAGUACUAGAGCAAAGGGACAGGCAAUAUCAUUGCAAAAGCAGCUGGUUUCAAUAUGGGUAGGGGGCGACCCCCUGUCAUCCCAUGCCACCCACAGUCAUGGGGCUCAUGGCUUAUCACAGGGAGGAUAAGGCCAGGAGGAGCCAUGUGAUGGGCAGAGCCAGGGGCCUCCACAGAAAGAGGGGCAAGGGUCAGCUAGAUCUGGUGUCCAGCAGGGCCCUGUCCCCAUCAUCCCCACGGCCACGCAAGCUGAGGUUCCAGGCCACCAGGGUAUUCCACCACUGGCCACAAGGGGGAGGCCUCAGACCACCUUGUGGAGGGGUCCCAAUCCUGCCCAGCAGCAAAGCAGACCUCUGAGGCAGACCUUUACAGCCCCCAAGACCAGGAAAGGCUGGUUGGCCUGGACACAGCCACAGGGAAAGUAAGAGAUGUCGGGGGGAUCUGGAGGCAUUUUCAGCCUCUCAGGUACUUUCUCUUCUCAGCCUGGCCGUAAGCACAAGCAGCUGCUGCAAUCACAGCCUCCGAGGCCCAUGAGUGUUCCUUCCAGGAGCAUGGGGCCUCUCCUCUUCCUCCUCCUUGCCAGGGCACCAGAAGCCUUGGGUCCAGGGCACCACCAGCCCUGAGCACUGGCACAACAGGGAGCUGCUGAUCCACCUGUAGCUGGUCAACUUCAUCUGCCAGGUCAACAAGUGGGCACAGCAGGAGGGCUUGAGCUAGCUCUCGCAGGGGGCUUACAGCACCAGCCUCAGGGGUGAGGAUCUGGUCAGCUUCUUGGUGGGCAACUGCAUGGCUUGGUGGCAGGAUCAGCUGGCACUACAUGUGUGGGACACCCUGAACUGUGACAAGGUUGCAGCCAAUACACUGGAAAACUUACUCAACCACACCUGCAUCCAGAACCUGCAGACUCUGCUCUGCAAUGGGAAGGAGGUGAUGGAGAAGCAGGGUGAGGCCCCCAAUGCUAAGAGCACCCCGUGGUCACGGUAUAUUCCCAGCAACCCAUUGUCACCCCAGAGCUCCCACUGAUGCCAGUUUACUGGGUCACCGGCUUCUACCAUGGCCCAUCCAAGUGGCCUGGCUGCAGGAUAGCAAGGAGGUGCCUCCAGGCCUGGGCCUCAACUCCAGUGGCCUCCUGCCCAACGUCAACAUGACCUACCAGCUGUGCAGCAUCCUGGCUCUGAAUCUGUCUUCUGGGCACCAUUAUGCCUGCCUCGUGGAGCACAGCAGCCUGGGCAGCCAUGGCUUGGUCAUGCCCUGGGGUGGGUGCAGGGCAGAGCUGGGCACAGUGGGAGGAAGGUCUCAGCACUGGGGAAUGGACAGAUCCCACUUAAGGCAUGAGCUACCACCUGUGACCAGCUCCAGCCCCCUGCCCCCAUGCUCCAGGCUUGGGUGUAGUGGAUUCCCCUUCAGGGGCUGAGGCCAUGUACCAGCAGAUCCAAAGAGACAGCUUCCUGGGUAAGAGGUAGCCCAGUCCCACCCUGCCUCAAAACCCUGGUGGUCUAGUCUCAGCUCCCAGCUCAGUUGGCUCCAAGCCUCAGACCUACAUGUGUAUGAUGAGCCACUGAUGCCAGCACACCUCCACAGGACAGCUCUCCCAGCUGGAGAUGGGCUUUCUCCCUGAGACUGUCACCUGCCCCAGGCCUUCCAGGGAUGGCUGAUGGGACCCCUCCUUAGCUCUUCCACCAGCUCCUCCAGCCCAAUCACUGCCCUGAACAGGGAGAGAACCCAGGUGUCCUGGCUUCCAGCCCCACCAUGGUGAAGGCAGGGCCUAGGACAGGGAGGCAGACCAGACCAUGCAACAGGGGAUUCUUGCUCCCCUCCCUCUGCUGCCUUCCAGAAAGCAAAACCCACUGGAAAACCAAUGUGACCAUGGGUAUCUUGGUCACACUUCUCAUCCUGGCCAUGGUGGUGGCAGCCAUUGUGUGCGUGCAGCAGAGACAGAGAUGAGCUGCCUUCCAUCCUUUUCCUCCUCCUCUCCUGACUCACAGGGGAAGGGGUUUCCUUACAUUUCCCAUGGCCCUUACCCAGCACUCAUGGUGGGAUCUGUCCUUGCAGGAGGUACCAGAACAUCAGCUGUCCUGGGAUGAUGUGACUUGUCCCCAGCUCUUUGGUUGAGGCUCUGCCAGUGAUGUGGAGAUGGGGCAGACAGUCCAUGGCACUCUCCUUUGUCCAUUGGGCAUCUCAUGGGUACAAUAAAAUAGAGGAUGGCUUUCC